UACGUAGGGGGGCAAGCGUUGUCCGGAUUUAUUGGGCGUAAAGAGCGUGUAGGCGGCCACACAGGUCAGCUGUGAAAACUCGAGGCUCAACCUCGAGACGUCGGUUGAAACCGUAUGGCUAGAGUCCGGAAGAGGAGAGUGGAAUUCCCGGUGUAGCGGUGAAAUGCGCAGAUAUCGGGAAGAACACCCGUGGCGAAGGCGGCUCUCUGGGACGGUACUGACGCUGAGACGCGAAAGCGUGGGGAGCGAACGAGG
Molecule: ribosomal RNA, 255 nt
Filed under: uncultured bacterium
Lineage: Bacteria
Description: partial 16S ribosomal RNA
Rfam family: Bacterial small subunit ribosomal RNA
Source: RNAcentral